CAGUAGCCGCGGGAAUACGAAGGGGGCUAGCGUUGUCCGGAAUUAUUGGGCGUAAAGCGUGCGUAGGCGGUUCGUUAAGUCUGUUGUGAAAGCCCCGGGCUCAACCUGGGAAUGGCAAUGGAUACUGGCGAGCUAGAGUGUGUCAGAGGAUGGUGGAAUUCCCGGUGUAGCGGUGAAAUGCGUAGAGAUCGGGAGGAACAUCAGUGGCGAAGGCGGCCAUCUGGGACAACACUGACGCUGAGGCACGAAAGCGUAGGGAGCAAACAGGAUUAGAUACCCCAGUAGUCCCUGUCUCUUAUAC
RNAcentral lists this ribosomal RNA (301 nucleotides) under uncultured bacterium. RNAcentral's name for it is "partial 16S ribosomal RNA". It matches the Rfam family "Bacterial small subunit ribosomal RNA", at positions 509 to 807 of the family's 1533-position model. The record is from RNAcentral.